Molecule: long non-coding RNA, 726 nt
Filed under: Musa acuminata (dwarf banana)
Lineage: Eukaryota; Viridiplantae; Streptophyta; Magnoliopsida; Zingiberales; Musaceae
Description: long non-coding RNA (MACU_LNC002188)
Source: RNAcentral
GACCGCCAGGCCGGCCCUCUCCGCCAGCUUCUCUAGCCGGUUGCCGACGGCCCUUAGGUUCCCCCCGCUGUUGUUGUUGGUGAACGGGGACGUGGGGUCCGAGACGGCAGUGAUCCGGAGGGAGGGUGCGCCGGCGGCGGGGCGGAGAUGGUGGCGUUCCGCGAGAGCAUGGAGGAGGACGGCGUACUGGCCGCCCUGGCCAACAUCGAAGUCAAGGAUAUGGAUCAUGGGCUGCUCCUUGGUGGCCUCCAAAAUCGCCAAAUUGGCGGUAAUAAGGCCGAGCUUGAAGCAAGGGGAGAGUUCGUAGAGCAUCUGCGUUGCCGCGAAGUGCUCCGCGCUGCAGAGCGCCGCGAUCGGGAGAGAGGAACUCCCAGCCUGCGGCAGCUUUAGCCGAGAGAUGAGCGCGUCGACCAUCACCGCCGUCAGUCGCUGCUCCGCGUCGCCUCGGGGGUUCGCAACGCGUUUCAGGACGACGAGGUUCGCGGUGGCUGUCUCGAGGUUCCCGUCCGCGAUAGCAGCGGCGGUCUCGAGGAGCAUCUGCCGCGAAGAUGAAGCCACCGACGACGAGGAGGGCGAGCACGAGGCGGAGGACGAGACGGUGGUGGAAGAGGAAUUGGUGGGCGAAGCGGAAAGCGGGUUCUUUGCCGACGUCGGCGGCGUGAUGAGCUGCUGCAUCGCCUCGCUCCACUCGGCCGUGGUCACGGCCGAGCCUGACGUGCUGACAUC